RNAcentral lists this ribosomal RNA (380 nucleotides) under uncultured eukaryote. Its description in RNAcentral is "partial 18S ribosomal RNA". It matches the Rfam family "Eukaryotic small subunit ribosomal RNA", at positions 592 to 976 of the family's 1831-position model. The record is from RNAcentral.
CAAUAGCGUAUAUUAAAGUUGUUGCGGUUAAAAAGCUCGUAGUUGGAUUUCUGUGGUAGGCAGCCGGUCCACACUAUGUGUGAGUAUCUGGUUCGGCUACUGCAUCCUCCUGAGGAACGUUGGUGCGCUUCACUGCGUGGCACGGUAUUCAGGACUUUUACUUUGAGGAAAUUAGAGUGUUCACGGCAGGCGUUUGCCCUGAAUAUAUUAGCAUGGAAUAAUGAUAUAGGGUCCACGUCCUAUUUUGUUGGUUUCUAGGACGAGGAUAAUGAUUAAUAGGGAUAAUUGGGGGCAUUCGUAUUAACACGUCAGAGGUGGAAUUCUUGGAUUGUGUUACGACGAACUACUGCGAAAGCAUUUGCCAAGGAUGUUUUCAUUGA